RNAcentral lists this ribosomal RNA (253 nucleotides) under uncultured bacterium. RNAcentral's name for it is "partial 16S ribosomal RNA". It matches the Rfam family "Bacterial small subunit ribosomal RNA", at positions 524 to 776 of the family's 1533-position model. The record is from RNAcentral.
UACGGGGGGGGCAAGCGUUGUUCGGAAUUACUGGGCGUAAAGGGCUCGUAGGCGGCCAACUAAGUCAGACGUGAAAUCCCUCAGCUUAACUGGGGAACUGCGUCUGAUACUGGAUGGCUUGGAUUCGGGAGAGGAAUGCGGAAUUCCAGGUGUAGCGGUGAAAUGCGUAGAUAUCUGGAGGAACACCGGUGGCGAAGGCGGCAUCCUGGACCGGCAUUGACGCUGAGGCGCGAAAGCCAGGGGAGCAAACGGG